RNAcentral lists this non-coding RNA (29 nucleotides) under Mus musculus (house mouse). The record is from RNAcentral. Lineage: Eukaryota; Metazoa; Chordata; Mammalia; Rodentia; Muridae.
UAUAGGACAAAAAGAGCCUCACGGUGCUG